This 1325-nucleotide long non-coding RNA is filed under the name Gossypium barbadense (sea-island cotton). Its description in RNAcentral is "long non-coding RNA (GBAR_LNC023571)". The record is from RNAcentral. Lineage: Eukaryota; Viridiplantae; Streptophyta; Magnoliopsida; Malvales; Malvaceae.
UUGGAAGUGAAAAUAGUAUGUUUCUACAUGGUUUAGAACUUAAUAGCAUGGUUAUUUACUGCUAAAUUAUCUGAAACAAUUUCUGUAAGAUUUUGAGCUGUUCACACGUCAAAAAGAUUUUGCAAGGGCCUUCUGUUCGGCUGCUUCCAAAUUAUGAUUGGAUUGAGGUCAAAUGAAAACCUUGAAUUCCAGAAAUUUAAGAAAGUUUUUGAAGUAUUUACUAUGGUUUGUGAAAACAUUUGGAAAACACUAGGGAACAAAAAGAGUUCAUUCAAGUUUCAAUAUUAUAUUCUUUUACAAAUUCACCUAAUCAGAAGUUAUUUUCAUGUGUGCGUGUGUCUAGGUGUAUGCAUGUAUAAGCAUAUGUGCAGAUUUGUUGCAAAUCUUAUAUUAUUAUUUUGUUUUUUGUUUCCAACUUGACCUUCUGGCAUCUUUAUUCACAUUAACUCAAACAGCUAGAAUCGUCACCUUAAGAAAUGGAUGGUUAGAAAGAAAAGGAUGAAGACUGAAUAAAGGAGUAAAGGACAGUGUGCUUGUACCAAAAGUCUGAUACGUAGUUUCCUGUCUUAUGGUCUUUUGCCUCAUAAAUUGGUGAUGGCUCCUACCAACAUAUGAUGUAUUCUUUCCCGUAUGUUAUCAGCUCCAAGUUUCAGUUUUAACCAAAUUGGUCUUAACAAAAAAUUAAUUUGCUUGUGAAUAAGUGCAUGCUAUUAGUGAUAAUCUUUUUAGCUACCGAAACAGUGUCAUGCUGUCGUGCAGAACCGAAGUUCUUUAAACUGAGAUCUGAAUUUGACUUUGUUUGGUUGGCAGAAAAUUGAGAAGCAGGGAUCCAAUGAACAAUCCUCUUGAUAUAAGCUUCCUUGCUGGGAAACCCACUCUUAGAUUCGUGGGAAUUGUGUUGUUGACUCCUAGGAAUCUCACAAAAAGUUACCCGAUUUACUAGAUGAGUAUUGAUCUCAGAUCCGGAUGUGAGGCCUUUUGGAUUGUUUUUUGUUCUUGUUUUUGUUGUGUUAGGUUUGGAAUAAAUUCUGGCUUCAUAUUGAAAAACACCAUAUAUAAAAAAUUAUGAUACUGCAGUGAAUACUUGGUUUGAACUUUCAGAUUAUUUUGAAGUGACUUGAAAAGGGCGCAUAACAUAUUUGGCAUAUAUAUAUGUAUCUAUUUGUUGAGAUCUUAAAUGAAGAAAAAAUUUAAGAAUGUCAUUGAUGAGCUCAAAUAUUUUGUUUUGAUUAAAAUAAUGUAAUUUUUAAAAAUUGUUAAUACAAUUAAAAUUUUAAAAAUUAUUAAUACAAUUAAAAUUAUCUAUUAAAUUCACGUUUGUUGCA